Molecule: ribosomal RNA, 409 nt
Filed under: uncultured eukaryote
Lineage: Eukaryota
Description: bacterial SSU rRNA
Rfam family: Eukaryotic small subunit ribosomal RNA
Source: RNAcentral
UAUUAGUGGGGUUCCAGUUCAUUUACUUUGAGUAAUUAGAGUGUUCAAAGCAGCCUGUAUGGGCAUUGAAUAGAUUAGCAUGGGAUAAUAGAAUAGGAUUCUUGUCUAUUUAUUGGUUUAUAGACUUAGAAUAAUGAUUAAUAGGGAUAGUUGGGGGCACUUGUAUUCAAUAGUCAGAGGUGAAAUUCUAGGAUUUAUUGAAGACAAACUUCAGCGAAAGCAUUUGCCAAGGAUGUUUUCAUUAAUCAAGAACGAAAGUUAGGGGAUCGAAGACGAUUAGACACCGUCGUAGUCUUAACUAUAAACUAUGCCGACCAGGGAUAUGAGAGUUUUUAAUUUAUGUUAUGAAUAAUAACAUAAUCUCUUGUGGACCUUGUGAGAAAUCAUAAGUUUUUGGGGUUCUGGGGGG